RNAcentral lists this ribosomal RNA (276 nucleotides) under unidentified marine bacterioplankton. Its description in RNAcentral is "partial 16S ribosomal RNA". It matches the Rfam family "Bacterial small subunit ribosomal RNA", at positions 48 to 339 of the family's 1533-position model. The record is from RNAcentral.
UUAACACAUGCAAGUCGAACGCGAAAGUACCUUCGGGUGCGAGUAGAGUGGCGGACGGGUGAGUAACGCGUGGGAAUCUGCCUAGUAGUGGGGGAUAACAAUCGGAAACGGUUGCUAAUACCGCAUACGCCCUACGGGGGAAAGGCUUCGGCCGCUAUUAGAUGAGCCCGCGUAAGAUUAGCUUGUUGGUAGGGUAAUGGCCUACCAAGGCAACGAUCUUUAGCUGGUCUGAGAGGACGAUCAGCCACACUGGGACUGAGACACGGCCCAGACUCC